RNAcentral lists this ribosomal RNA (484 nucleotides) under uncultured bacterium. Its description in RNAcentral is "partial 16S ribosomal RNA". It matches the Rfam family "Bacterial small subunit ribosomal RNA", at positions 28 to 507 of the family's 1533-position model. The record is from RNAcentral.
AUUGAACGCUGGCGGCAGGCCUAACACAUGCAAGUCGAGCGGCAGCAGGGGGCUUGCCACUGGAUUGCGCGGCGCACGCGGGAGUAAUGUCCAUCAGUAUGCCUGCUAGUGGGGGAUAACGUCCGGCGACGGGCGCUAAUAUAGCGCAUGCGAUGUGCGGGUAAAAGCGGGGUCCUUGGACGCCUCGCGCUAUGAUGAGCCUAGGUCGGAUUAGCUAGUUGGUGGGGUAAAGGCCUACCAAGGCGACGAUCAGUAGCUGGUCUGAGAGGAUGACCAGUCACACUGGGACUGAGACACGGUCCAGACUCCUACGGGAGGCAGCAGUGGGGAAUAUUGGACAAUGGGCGAAAGCCUGAUCCAGCCAUGCCGCGUGUGUGAAGAAGGUCUUCGGAUUGUAAAGCACUUUUGGUUGGGAGGAAGGCCAGGGAGUUAAUACCGUGGGGGGUUGACGUUACCGGCAGAAUAAGCACCGGCUAACUACGUG